This 253-nucleotide ribosomal RNA is filed under the name uncultured bacterium. RNAcentral's name for it is "partial 16S ribosomal RNA". It matches the Rfam family "Bacterial small subunit ribosomal RNA", at positions 524 to 776 of the family's 1533-position model. The record is from RNAcentral.
UACGUAGGGGGCAAGCGUUAUCCGGAGUUACCGGGCGUAAAGGGCGUGUAGGUGGUUUCGUAAGUCUGGCGUGAAAUAUCUCGGCUUAACCGAGGCAGGUCGUCGGAUACUGCGGAACUGGAGGACGGUAGAGGCGUGUGGAAUUCCGGGUGUAGUGGUGAAAUGCGUAGAGAUCCGGAGGAACACCAGUGGCGAAGGCGACACGCUGGGCCGUACCUGACACUGAUGCGCGACAGCAUGGGGAGCAAACAGG